UACGUAGGGUCCGAGCGUUGUCCGGAAUUAUUGGGCGUAAAGCGCGCGUAGGCGGUUUCUUAAGUCUGAUGUGAAAGCCCACGGCUCAACCGUGGAGGGUCAUUGGAAACUGGAGGACUUGAGUGCAGAAGAGGAAAGUGGAAUUCCACGUGUAGCGGUGAAAUGCGUAGAUAUGUGGAGGAACACCAGUGGCGAAGGCGACUCUCUGGUCUGUAACUGACGCUGAGGCGCGAAAGCGUGGGGAGCAAACAGG
This 253-nucleotide unclassified non-coding RNA is filed under the name uncultured Bacillaceae bacterium. Its description in RNAcentral is "contains 16S-23S intergenic spacer region". It matches the Rfam family "Bacterial small subunit ribosomal RNA", at positions 524 to 776 of the family's 1533-position model. The record is from RNAcentral. Lineage: Bacteria; Bacillati; Bacillota; Bacilli; Caryophanales; Bacillaceae.